Long non-coding RNA from Sorghum bicolor (sorghum), 2357 nucleotides. RefSeq lists it as uncharacterized. The record is from RefSeq and is a predicted model, not a curated record. NCBI's taxonomy places the organism in Eukaryota, Viridiplantae, Streptophyta, Magnoliopsida, Poales, Poaceae. The transcript is spliced from 3 exons.
GACCCACCCAGGAAGGACCUAGUAGACAGGAGGACUCAGCUCACCGCACAGCCAGGCGCACCCAAAUCCUCAAGCCCUAGCGGACGCACGCACGCACGCGGCACCAUGGCGGCGGCGGCGGCGCAGCAGAAGAUCUGGUUGGGGAGCUAGAGGAGGACUUCGGAGGUGACCUCGACUUCCUCCUCCUGCCGCGGGUCGUGGUCGGGCCCGACGAUAACGGGCUCAAGAAGGUCAUCGAGUACCGCUUUGACGACGACGGCAACAAGGUCAGGGUCACCACCACCACCCGCGUCUGCAAGCUCGCGCGGGCGCGCCUCUCCUGCAGCGCCAUCGAGCACCGCCAGUGGCCCAAGUUCGGCGACGCCCUCAAGGAGGACGCGGGUUCCGGGCUCACCAUGGUCUCCACCGAGGCGAUCCUCCUCGAGCGACCCCGCUCACCAGUUUGAAGGGCAUAGGAAGGUGGGUGCCUUGGAGAGGGUCAGGGCCUUGAGGCCGUUUCAUUUGCAUGGUUGAAACCACGGAGCACUGUCCAUGCACAAGUGCUGCCACUGCUAAAUCUAUCUAAGGAGCUCUUGAGCAGAACCUGUGUUGGUGUGCAGGAACUUGGCACUUAGGUCUUGCACGGGCGCUGCCACACACUAGGCAUGUGGAAUCAGGACGCUGCUCUGACGUCCGUUGGAACGUAUCGCGGAUCUCGCCACCUGCAGUCUGUGGAACCUGCAACAGAUCGAUUGUGGCGCGAUCCUAUACAACAUCUGGCAUUAGUUCCAAGCAGUCAGUUCAAUUCUGGUGAUCAGGUAAUUUCGCUAACCAUUAUUUCAUAGUCUCAUACUCAAUUUGGUUUUACGCUUGAAGUUUCUUUGUUUCAGUUUGAUGGAGCUAUGAUAAUUAUUUUUAACUUUUGCAUUAUAUGAUGCAAACUAAUUUGAUCAUGCAAGUCUUUAUGAGUCCGUUGUUCAUUGGUCUUUUCAUCUUCUUGUCAUGAAAAUUAACAUCAUAAUUUAGUGAAAAUCAUUUUAGAGACAUUCUAUAAUUUCCAAAUCACAGUUAUGAAAACAAAUGCUAGCACAAGUACAGAACCUACUACUAAUCUGUAAAAACAUAGUUUGGAAACUCUAAAACCUGCACUUGCUGAAAAGCAAAACUAUUUAAACUAUAGAAAUAGUAUAAACUGUAGCAAUCUGACAAUAGAAAAAACUGAAAGCAGAUGCUACUUAUUCUCAAGCAAAACCGAAAACAGAUUUUGCACUUGUUGCAACCUGCAAAACAACAAAACAACGCAAAAGAGUAAAAAUAGCUAUAGCAUUUAAUUUUAUUUGACAAAUUAGAGUUCACCUGUAGAAUUGCUUAGUUAAUCUGCGCACUAUUUGGUUGGCAUAGUAUCUUAAUUGAAUUUUUAGCAUAAGGAUAUUUGAAAUAAGCUGAUCUGGCAGUAGUGACUAAUAAGGAUAUCUACGUGUUUGAGUUCGAUAAUCAACUAACAUUUAUGUGCUGAUCUAAAAACUUAACUGAAUCUGAAUGUGUUUUGCUAGAUUUAUUCUUUGGCAAAUUAUUCUUAAACAUUGCUAAAAUUAAGAAACAUUGUUAAAAUUAAAUCAAGUAUCAGUCGUCCAGUUAAUUCUUAUUUUGAAUAUCAACAGGUUGAUUCAGGUAAUAUUUUUAGUUUGCCAAUCAUUUAGAUGAAGAAAACAAUAAUCAUCUGUUUGAUCUAGCUGUAGAUAGUAUGUUUCAUAGUUUAGACUAUGACAAAAUGUCUUGCAUCAUAAAAAACUAGAAAAUAUAAAUUCUAUUGAUAGUGUAAAGCUGAAUAAAAUAAUCAUCUUUCGAUAAGAAAGCUCCACCCCAAAACUAAAAAGCUACAAAGAGGUAAUGUUUCACUUGUCGAUACAGAUUUUUUCAAGAUAGUCAAUAGUACUUUCUUUAAGAAUUAAGAAACAACUUAUACGCGGAAUACUUCCAACUACAACUUCAGCUGUAAGAAGUCAGACGCAUCAUUUCUAGAUCAUAUUUGAUUAGUGAUCAGCUGCAGCUUGGUGUCUAUGUUGCAAUGAACAAGCUGCUGCGAUAAACAAGCGUGUGCAAGAACUUGAGAGCGAAUUGCAAGUUGAGAAGAUAGGAUCAGUGGAGCUGCGAUCAUAGGUGGCUGAUCUGCAGAAGGAAGUAGAGGACAAAAAAGUUGAUGUUCUGAAGACAUUUGAGAUUCUUGAUGUAGCCUCAUUCUGUAGACAUUUGAGAUUCUGGAUGUGUAGCCUAUGUUCUACAGUCAUUUGUGCUUUUGGUGUUGUAUUGCAGUUUGAAACUUGUAUAAAAUGUCUGUGAUAUUUUAAUUAAUUGUGGAGAUUGCUUAUUUGAUCCUA